GGCCGGGGAACACCACGACUGCCUGCGAUUAACGGCGGCAAGUCACUGUCAUCACAGCCGAUUCUCUCGGUCGACGUCUUGAAAAUCCCCGUGUCGGCGGUUCGAUUCCGUCCCCGGCCACCA
This 123-nucleotide transfer RNA is filed under the name Alkalilimnicola sp. S0819. RNAcentral's name for it is "tRNA-OTHER". The record is from RNAcentral. Lineage: Bacteria; Pseudomonadati; Pseudomonadota; Gammaproteobacteria; Chromatiales; Ectothiorhodospiraceae. RNAcentral also lists the same sequence under 1 other name.